RNAcentral lists this unclassified non-coding RNA (322 nucleotides) under uncultured Ascomycota. RNAcentral describes it as "sequence contains ITS1". The stretch from base 1 to 105 matches the Rfam family "5.8S ribosomal RNA", at positions 50 to 154 of the family's 154-position model. Lineage: Eukaryota; Fungi; Ascomycota. The record is from RNAcentral.
GAAAUGCGAUAAGUAAUGUGAAUUGCAGAAUUCAGUGAAUCAUCGAAUCUUUGAACGCACAUUGCGCCCUCUGGUAUUCCGGGGGGCAUGCCUGUUCGAGCGUCAUUACAAACUUCAAGCCUUCGGGUUUGGUGGUGGGCCACGUCCUCCCUCGGGAGUCCCGGCCUCAAAGUCAUUGGCGACGCCCUCCGGCUUCACGCGCAGUAGGACUCCUUUCUCGUGUGGAUGGUCCGGUGGCUCGUCCGCCACGAAACACCUCGCGGGGCCUCUGUGCCCUCUAAAGUUUGACCUCGGAUCAGGUAGGGAUACCCGCUGAACUUAA